GAGGGUAUAGCUCAGUGGUAGAGCACAUGCUUAGCAUGCAUGAAGUCUUGGGUUCAGUCCCCAGUGCCUCCA
Molecule: transfer RNA, 72 nt
Filed under: Camelus bactrianus (Bactrian camel)
Lineage: Eukaryota; Metazoa; Chordata; Mammalia; Artiodactyla; Camelidae
Also listed under: 1 other name
Rfam family: tRNA
About the family: Transfer RNA (tRNA) molecules are approximately 80 nucleotides in length. Their secondary structure includes four short double-helical elements and three loops (D, anti-codon, and T loops).
Source: Rfam by way of RNAcentral